GACGAACGCUGGCGGCGUGCUUAACACAUGCAAGUCGAACGGAAAGGCCCUGCUUUUGUGGGGUGCUCGAGUGGCGAACGGGUGAGUAACACGUGAGUAACCUGCCCUUGACUUUGGGAUAACUUCAGGAAACUGGGGCUAAUACCGGAUAGGAGCUCCUGCUGCGUGGUGGGGGUUGGAAAGUUUCGGCGGUUGGGGAUGGACUCGCGGCUUAUCAGCUUGUUGGUGGGGUAGUGGCUUACCAAGGCUUUGACGGGUAGCCGGCCUGAGAGGGUGACCGGCCACAUUGGGACUGAGGUACGGCCCAGACUCCUACGGGAGGCAGCAGUGGGGAAUAUUGCACAAUGGGCGGAAGCCUGAUGCAGCAACGCCGCGUGCGGGAUGACGGCCUUCGGGUUGUAAACCGCUUUCGCCUGUGACGAAGCGUGAGUGACGGUAAUGGGUAAAGAAGCACCGGCUAACUACGUG
This 468-nucleotide ribosomal RNA is filed under the name uncultured bacterium. RNAcentral's name for it is "partial 16S ribosomal RNA". It matches the Rfam family "Bacterial small subunit ribosomal RNA", at positions 28 to 507 of the family's 1533-position model. The record is from RNAcentral.